This is a long non-coding RNA of Solanum pennellii, 1899 nucleotides long. RefSeq lists it as uncharacterized. The record is from RefSeq and is a predicted model, not a curated record. The transcript is spliced from 2 exons. Lineage: Eukaryota; Viridiplantae; Streptophyta; Magnoliopsida; Solanales; Solanaceae.
UUUUAAAAUGGAAAGUCCUCUAAAAUCGACGAAAAAAAUUAUAAACUACCAACUAUAGAUAAGAGCAAAGCAAUAAUCAAAACACUAUACAGUUAUAAGUCUUCUUUCAUGACAUAAAUAUAUCCAACCAAAUCAACAAAGUGUGAAACUCAACAUAACUGGUUAAAUAAAACAAACUUUACCAAAGAAAAAUGAAAAUGAAAAUAACAUUGGCUGAAGUUUGAACCCCUACAGCCAGAUCUUAGAAAAAAUAACGAAGUAAAAGAGGGAUUGUUUGUAUACCGAAGCUAGAGAGAGAUCGAUGUUUUGGAGCUUUGGCUCACUGGUGAUGAUCUGAUUCGGGAUGGUCGACGUUCUGAUUUUAAUGGAAUUAGAGUUGGGAUCUGAUUUGACUUGCGAGCUCACCGGGAUUUGCAACUUGGUGGAGCUGUUCAGACUCGCUAGUUACAGUAAUGGAGUUGCCGACUUCUAAUUCAUCAAGUUCAUCCCCAUUUUGGAAUUGAUAAUGUCACUUAUGACUAGAACUUUUGUGGGGGUUGUUUGGAUAUUGUUGUUGAUCGAUUUAAGUUGGGUUUAGGGUCUGGUCGGAGAUGGACAAUAGAAGAGGGAACAAUAAUAGUCAAAUUCUGAGUUCUGAUUGGUUUGUUAUGAUCUCAAUCAUCAAGUGUUGUGUGUCAAGAUUCGAACUAGGGACAAAGUAUAAGUCAUUAACACUAAAAUUAAAAAAUUGAAGGACCGAGAUUCAAUUAAUUCAAAUCAAGCUGAAGGGACGAGAUCGUGCCAUAUGGACAGAUGGUUAUAUAUACACAUCACACAGGACAGAGAAGGCUAACAAAAAUCUGGGAACAAAAGGUAAUCUCCGCUAUUUAGUAGAUGGAUUUAACCAAGCUAUUGGGACUUGAUUAUGAGGUUCAAUAUAAGAAAGGUGCUGAAAAUAGAGAUGUUGACACGUUGUAUAGGCAACAAGAAGGGUUAGAUUCCUUAGAUGAUCAUGCUAUUGGGAAUUUAAUGGCUAUAAGAAGUUGCACUCCAACUUGGGUACAAGAGAUUAUUAUGCGCUAUGCAGAGGAUUCUUAUGUCCGAGACAUUCUUAUACUACUUGCAGUAGAUUCUCAUGGACCCAAUUUAUCGCACUACUCAUCUGGUAUACGAAGAAACAAGGGCAAGGUAUAUCUAGGAUCUCAUGGAACUCUCAAACAACAACUCAUUUCUUCUUACCGCGACACUCUCCUUGGUGGUCAUUCUGGUCAGUUAGAGACAUUGAAAAGGUUGUCGCAACUCUUUUAUUGACCAAAGGUGAAGCUUAUGGUUAAUGAUUAUGUGUCCAACUGUGAUUUAUGCCAUAGGAAUAAAGACGAUAAUGCAGCUUAUCCGAGAUUUUUGCAACUCUUACCUGUUCCUAAUCAAGCAUGGUGCCAUAUCAAUACGGACUUUGUGGAAGGUCUUUCAAAGUCUAAAUCUAAAGAUGUCAUAUUAGUGAUGGUUGAUAGAUUUACUAAGUAUGCCACUUUAUAGCUCUAUCGCACCCCAUACUGCCGCCACUAUUGCUUUCAUCUUUUGGAAGAAGAUACAUAGCCUACAUGGCACUCCGAAGUCUAUUGUGACUGAUAGAGACAAGGUGCUUCUCAACAACUUUUGACGAGCUUUAUUUAGCUUAUUGAGCACUCAAAUCAAUUAUAACUCUGCCUUUCACUCUCAAAGUGAUGGACAAACAGAAAGGGUUAAUUGGUGCUUGGAAAACUACUUAAGAUGCAUGGUGGCAAGUAAGCCUAACCAGUGGAGACUAGGGAUGGACAUAAACACCUAAAAACUGAAAAAAACUGAAAUAUCAAAUUGAAUCGAAUUGUUUUGAUAUUUUAUUUUUGUAUUCGGUAUAUGUUUUUGUAUUUUUUGAUAUUU